RNAcentral lists this long non-coding RNA (201 nucleotides) under Mytilus galloprovincialis (Mediterranean mussel). Lineage: Eukaryota; Metazoa; Mollusca; Bivalvia; Mytilida; Mytilidae. The record is from RNAcentral.
GAUUAUCUUUAUUGAUUGAAUGGUAGCAUUGGGUUUGAUGUGAUAAAUAGAAAAUCAGAUUUACCAAAAAAAAAAAGAACAACACCAAAAAAAAAACACCAACCACAAACUUAAAGAUCUAUUCUUCUGACUUUUCAGUCUCGUUCAGUCUCGUUGAAAUCGCGUUCUUGAAUUAUUUCCAAAAUAUGUUAUACACGCGGA